Molecule: ribosomal RNA, 496 nt
Filed under: uncultured bacterium
Lineage: Bacteria
Description: partial 16S ribosomal RNA
Rfam family: Bacterial small subunit ribosomal RNA
Source: RNAcentral
GAUGAACGCUGGCGGCGUGCCUAAUACAUGCAAGUCGAGCGAACGGACGAGAAGCUUGCUUCUCUGAUGUUAGCGGCGGACGGGUGAGUAACACGUGGAUAACCUACCUAUAAGACUGGGAUAACUUCGGGAAACCGGAGCUAAUACCGGAUAAUAUUUUGAACCGCAUGGUUCAAAAGUGAAAGACGGUCUUGCUGUCACUUAUAGAUGGAUCCGCGCUGCAUUAGCUAGUUGGUAAGGUAACGGCUUACCAAGGCAACGAUGCAUAGCCGACCUGAGAGGGUGACCGGCACCACGGGAACUGAGACAGGUUCCAGACCCCUAGGGGAGGCAGCGGUAGGAAAUCUUCCGCAAUGGGCGAAGGCCUGCCGGAGCAACGCGGCGUGAGUGAUGAAGGUCUUCGGAUCGUAAAACUCUGUUAUUAGGAAGAACAUAUGUGUAAGUAACUGUGCACAUCUUGACGGUACCUAAUCAGAAAGCCACGGCUAACUACGUG